UCUGUAGGUGACCUGC
Molecule: ribosomal RNA, 16 nt
Filed under: uncultured Malasseziales
Lineage: Eukaryota; Fungi; Basidiomycota; Malasseziomycetes; Malasseziales
Description: partial 18S ribosomal RNA
Source: RNAcentral